Molecule: ribosomal RNA, 486 nt
Filed under: uncultured bacterium
Lineage: Bacteria
Description: bacterial SSU rRNA
Rfam family: Bacterial small subunit ribosomal RNA
Source: RNAcentral
AUUGAACGCUGGCGGCAUGCCUUACACAUGCAAGUCGAACGGUAACAGGUCUUCGGAUGCUGACGAGUGGCGAACGGGUGAGUAAUACAUCGGAACGUGCCCGAGAGUGGGGGAUAACGAAGCGAAAGCUUUGCUAAUACCGCAUACGAUCUCAGGAUGAAAGCAGGGGACCGCAAGGCCUUGCGCUCACGGAGCGGCCGAUGGCAGAUUAGGUAGUUGGUGGGAUAAAAGCUUACCAAGCCGACGAUCUGUAGCUGGUCUGAGAGGACGACCAGCCACACUGGGACUGAGACACGGCCCAGACUCCUACGGGAGGCAGCAGUGGGGAAUUUGGACAAUGGGCGCAAGCCUGAUCCAGCCAUGCCGCGUGCAGGAUGAAGGCCUUCGGGUGUAAACUGCUUUGUACGGAACGAAAAGACUCUGGUUAAUACCUGGGUCCAUGACGGUACCGUAAGAAUAAGCACCGGCUAACUACGUGCCAGCACG